GACGGGGGGGGCUAGUGUUAUUCAACAUGACUGGGCGUAAAGCGUCUGUAGGCGGUUAAUUAAGUUAGGGACUAACCUUGAAGUUUGUUAUACUGAUUAACUUGAGUUUAAUAGAGGGAGGUAGUACACCCAUCGUAGGGGUAGAAUCCAGAGAUGAUGGGGGGACUAGCAGAGGCGAAGGCGACCUCCUGGUUUAAGACUGACGCUGAGAGACUAAAGCGUGGGGAUCAAACAGG
RNAcentral lists this ribosomal RNA (236 nucleotides) under uncultured bacterium. RNAcentral's name for it is "partial 16S ribosomal RNA". It matches the Rfam family "Bacterial small subunit ribosomal RNA", at positions 524 to 776 of the family's 1533-position model. The record is from RNAcentral.